GACGAACGCUGGCGGCGUGCCUAAUACAUGCAAGUCGAACGCUUCUUUCCUCCCGAGUGCUUGCACUCAAUUGGAAAGCGGAGUGGCGGACGGGUGAGUAACACGUGGGUAACCUACCCAUCAGAGGGGGAUAACACUUGGAAACAGGUGCUAAUACCGCAUAACAGUUUAUGCCGCAUGGCAUAAGAGUGAAAGGCGCUUUCGGGUGUCGCUGAUGGAUGGACCCGCGGUGCAUUAGCUAGUUGGUGAGGUAACGGCUCACCAAGGCCACGAUGCAUAGCCGUCCUGAGAGGGUGAUCGGCCACACUGGGACUGAGACACGGCCCAGACUCCUACGGGAGGCAGCAGUAGGGAAUCUUCGGCAAUGGACGAAAGUCUGACCGAGCAACGCCGCGUGAGUGAAGAAGGUUUUCGGAUCGUAAAACUCUGUUGUUAGAGAAGAACAAGGACGUUAGUAACUGAACGUCCCCUGACGGUAUCUAACCAGAAAGCCACGGCUAACUACGUG
This 508-nucleotide ribosomal RNA is filed under the name uncultured bacterium. RNAcentral describes it as "partial 16S ribosomal RNA". It matches the Rfam family "Bacterial small subunit ribosomal RNA", at positions 28 to 507 of the family's 1533-position model. The record is from RNAcentral.